AGGAUCAUUACUGAGUUCUUUGAAGUGGGGACUAUCUUGCAUCUCUCACCUUUGAUGCUGGCAAUAUCAUUUGUUGCAUUGUGCUCAAGGCUUUUCCUUUAAGGAUUUGAGGGGGGAGCAAAAUGGAUGCCCUGCUUUUUGAGAUUGCUCAUGUUCCUCUAACACCUGUGCACUACAAGCAAAGUUUUAUUCCUGCAAGUCAGCUUAUAUUGUGAAUUUGGCCAUGUAUUUGUUGCGUGUGGGCCCCCUAUCUAGUGUGGGUAUAGGUUUGCACAAUGCAAUAUAUGCAAUAUGUUCACAAAAGAUGAUUCAAAGGGGAUAGUGACUUUGUCUUCAUAUAAACCCUUAUAAAAUUGUCUUGUAGAAUGAAAGAGUAGCUCAAUUGUGAGCAGGAAAACUCAUACAACUUUCAACAAUGGAUCUCUUGGCUCUCGCAUCGAUGAAGAACGCAGCGAAAUGCGAUAAGUAAUGUGAAUUGCAGAAUUCAGUGAAUCAUCGAAUCUUUGAACACACCUUGUGCUCCUUGGGUUACCUAUGGAGCAUGCCUGUUUGAGUGUCAUGUUAAUCUCAAUUCCCUUGGGCAUUUUUUUGUAUUAACGAGAAAAGGCCUGUUCUUAGGGUUAUUGGAUUUGAGGGUUUAUGCAGGUUCCUUUUAUAGGGAAAUCAGCUCCCUCUAAAAAUAUUAGCUAGAGGAUGAAGCAAAAUGUCUCAGCAUUAUUCAUUGGCUCAUGGUGUAAUAAUUGUUUCAUCAUGAUGUUUUAUGUGUAGAGGUAUUUGUGACAUUCUCUGCAAUCUAAUUUGUCGGAUUUUUCUGGCAAUUCAUGCAUUCUCUUUGGCCUCAAAUCAGGUAGGACUACCCGCUGAACUUAAGCAUAUCAUUAAGCGGAGGAAAAGAAACUAACAAGGAUUCCCCUAGUAACUGCGAGUGAAGCGGGAAGAGCUCAAAUUUAAAAUCUGGCAGCUCUGCUGUCCGAGUUGUAAUCUGUAGAAGCAUUUUCUGCAUUGGACUGUGUACAAGUCUCUUGGAAUAGAGCGUCAUAGAGGGUGAGAAUCCCGUCCAUGACACAGACUACCAAUGCUUUGUGAUAUGCUCUCAAAGAGUCGAGUUGUUUGGGAAUGCAGCUCAAAAUGGGUGGUAAAUUCCAUCUAAAGCUAAAUAUAGGCGAGAGACCGAUAGCGAACAAGUACCGUGAGGGAAAGAUGAAAAGCACUUUGGAAAGAGAGUUAAACAGUACGUGAAAUUGUUGAAAGGGAAACGCUUGAAGUCAGUCACAUUCUGCAGAACUCAGCCUUGCCUAUUAGGCCUGGUGUAUUUUCUGUAGGAUGGGUCAACAUCAAUUUUGGUCAGUGGAUAAAGGAGGAGGGAAUGUGGCACCUGUGAAGGUGUGUUAUAGCCCUCUUUCAUAUACAUUGACUGGGAUUGAGGACUGCAGCAUGCCCUUGUGGCCAGGCUUUCAUGUCACAUGCUUAGGAUGUUGACAAAAUGGCUUUAAGCGACCCGUCUUGAAACACGGACCAAGGAGUCUAACAUGCCUGCAAGUGUUUGGGUGGAAAACCCUUGCGCAUAAUGAAAGUGAAAGUUGGGAACCUCCGCAAGGGGGUGCACUGACGCCCGGCCCUGAUGUUUACUGACGGUGCUGCGGUAGAGCAUGUAUGUUGGGACCCGAAAGAUGGUGAACUAUGCCUGAAUAGGGUGAAGCCAGAGGAAACUCUGGUG
This 1717-nucleotide ribosomal RNA is filed under the name Coltriciella oblectabilis. RNAcentral describes it as "eukaryotic LSU rRNA". The stretch from base 834 to 1717 matches the Rfam family "Eukaryotic large subunit ribosomal RNA", at positions 1 to 869 of the family's 3401-position model. Lineage: Eukaryota; Fungi; Basidiomycota; Agaricomycetes; Hymenochaetales; Hymenochaetaceae. The record is from RNAcentral.